Molecule: ribosomal RNA, 253 nt
Filed under: uncultured bacterium
Lineage: Bacteria
Description: partial 16S ribosomal RNA
Rfam family: Bacterial small subunit ribosomal RNA
Source: RNAcentral
UACGGGGGGGGCAAGCGUUGUUCGGAAUUACUGGGCGUAAAGGGCUCGUAGGCGGCCAACUAAGUCAUACGUGAAAUCCCUCGGCUUAACCGGGGAACUGCGUCUGAUACUGGAUGGCUUGAGUUCGGGAGAGGGAUGCGGAAUUCCAGGUGUAGCGGUGAAAUGCGUAGAUAUCAGGAGGAACACCGAUGGCGAAGGCAGGUCUCUGGGACGGUACUGACGCUGAGACGCGAAAGCGUGGGGAGCGAACAGG